UGCAGUCGAACGGUAGCAGGAAGUGCUUGCACUUUGCUGACGAGUGGCGGACGGGUGAGUAAUGCUUGGGAACUUGCCUUUAGGUGGGGGAUAACAGUUGGAAACGACUGCUAAUACCGCAUAAUGUCUACGGACCAAAGGGGGCUUCGGCUCCCGCCUUGAGAGAGGCCCAAGUGAGAUUAGCUAGUUGGUGGGGUAAAGGCCUACCAAGGCAACGAUCUCUAGCUGUUCUGAGAGGAAGAUCAGCCACACUGGGACUGAGACACGGCCCAGACUCCUACGGGAGGCAGCAGUGGGGAAUAUUGCACAAUGGGGGAAACCCUGAUGCAGCCAUGCCGCGUGUGUGAAGAAGGCCUUCGGGUUGUAAAGCACUUUCAGUUGUGAGGAAAGGUUGGUAGUUAAUACCUGCCAGCUGUGACGUUAACAACAGAAGAAGCACCGGCUAACUCCGUGCCAGCAGCCGCGGUAAUACGGAGGGUGCGAGCGUUAAUCGGAAUUACUGGGCGUAAAGCGCACGCAGGCGGCUUGUUAAGCUAGAGGUGAAAGCCCCGCGCUCAACGUGGGAACUGCCUUUAGAACUGGCAGGCUAGAGUCUUGGAGAGGGGAGUGGAAUUCCAGGUGUAGCGGUGAAAUGCGUAGAUAUCUGGAGGAACAUCAGUGGCGAAGGCGGCUCCCUGGCCAAAGACUGACGCUCAUGUGCGAAAGUGUGGGUAGCGAACAGGAUUAGAUACCCUGAUAGUCCACACCGUAAACGCUGUCUACUAGCUGUUUGUGUAUUUAAUACGUGAGUA
This 791-nucleotide ribosomal RNA is filed under the name uncultured Alteromonas sp. RNAcentral's name for it is "bacterial SSU rRNA". It matches the Rfam family "Bacterial small subunit ribosomal RNA", at positions 56 to 845 of the family's 1533-position model. Lineage: Bacteria; Pseudomonadati; Pseudomonadota; Gammaproteobacteria; Alteromonadales; Alteromonadaceae. The record is from RNAcentral.